RNAcentral lists this ribosomal RNA (373 nucleotides) under uncultured bacterium. Its description in RNAcentral is "bacterial SSU rRNA". It matches the Rfam family "Bacterial small subunit ribosomal RNA", at positions 523 to 898 of the family's 1533-position model. The record is from RNAcentral.
AUACGUAAGGGGCGAGCGUUGUUCGGAAUUAUUGGGUGUAAAGGGUGCGUAGGCGGUUUGACAAGUCUGGUGUUGAAGGCAACGGCUUAACCGUUGUUUGGCGCUGGAAACUGUUGGACUUGAGUUUAGGAGGGGGAGCUGGAAUUCCAGGUGUAGGGGUGAAAUCUGUAGAUAUCUGGAAGAACACCGGUGGCGAAGGCGAGCUCCUGGCCAUAGACUGACGCUGAGGCACGAAAGCGUGGGGAGCGAACAGGAUUAGAUACCCUGGUAGUCCACGCUGUAAACGAUGUACACUAGGUGUCGGUCCAAGAGGAUCGGUGCCGUAGCAAACGCGUUAAGUGUACCACCUGGGGAGUAUGCCGGCAACGGUGAA